AAAAAAAAAAAGGAACGAUACAGAGAAGAUUAGCAUGGUCCCUGCACAAGGAUGACACGCAAAUUCAUGAAGCGUUCUAUAUAAAA
Molecule: small nuclear RNA, 86 nt
Filed under: Myotis lucifugus (little brown bat)
Lineage: Eukaryota; Metazoa; Chordata; Mammalia; Chiroptera; Vespertilionidae
Source: RNAcentral